This is a long non-coding RNA of Vespa mandarinia (Asian giant hornet), 4330 nucleotides long. Lineage: Eukaryota; Metazoa; Arthropoda; Insecta; Hymenoptera; Vespidae. The record is from RefSeq and is a predicted model, not a curated record.
UGCAUGGUUUUACCUCAACUAUCUUUCUUGAGAUUUUUCUUCGUACUUAACUAAUUUUUUAUUAUCUUUCUCCAACUAGUAAAUAGAUACGUUAUAUAUUAUCUAUUUAUGAUAAGUACAAGAAAAAAAUCAAUCGUGUCAGACAAUCCAAUAAAAUUUGUUAUUAUUUGGGAUCUUAUACGAGUAUAUAACGUAAUUAUUAUACUGUCGAUUCUCGAACGUAACCGACGGGAAAAGGAUUGAUGAUAGUGUACACAAGCAGAUACCGGUUAUCUUAUAUUUUUGCAUAAAAUUUAGCUUAUUUUGUCGUACAUUAUAAAACUGAAUCUGAUAACAGAAAUUAACAAGAGUAUUUAUCUAAUAUGAUUUGUUUCAGUGAUUAGUAAGUGUAGGAAUUUAUAUGCAUUGUUUGUGAAACAAUGUAUGUCUAUUUCGACAAAGUUCCUAGCAUUAGAUUAGAAACGUGUAAGCCUGAUUCGUAUUGUCAAUCGUACCUCAUCUAUUUUUUUUCUCCUUUAUAAAUUCUAGUUUCCACCAUAUUGAAAUUCUCUGCUGUUUAUUCGUGGAUCGUUAGAUUGCAAGAGUCACGAUACUUCUGUCUCAUCACAAAGAAAGAAUUUGUAUUUAUAUAUUACUCAUUCGAAAUGUACACAUUGGUAAACAUUGAAAGAGUACGAAUAUUCAAGGAGAAUUAAAUUGAAUAACAAAAUUAAAAAAAAUUAUUUCUCUCUCGACGAAAAAUUUCUACGUCUCUGCAUUAGAUAAUAGCUAUACGAAUGAUUUUACUUCAUGAAAAUAUCAGUUUAAAUCGAAAAGUAUCAAUACCGAAAGGAAUAUCAUCUCUUUCUCUCUCUCUUUCUCUCUUGCGUUUCUUACAUUUCGUACAUUUAUAUAGAAAAUGUAAAAUGUCAGCAACAGAUCUCCCCAUAUAGACGAGAUAUUGAGCGAUAGAAAAAUUCUAGAGUAUUUUCAAUGAAUUUCUAUGAUGAAAACAGUUCGCAAUGGACUCGCGAUAACAAAUAAUCGAGAAAUACAUAAAACAAUGUGAAUCAUCAUAGUUAAGUCACGUUUUCAUUACGCAUUAUACCUGAUAUUGUGUUCUUCGAAAGAUAUAAAUCGAAAUUUUUUUUUCUGAAAGAAAAAUCAAUAACAAACUUUUUAUCAAUGAUCGAUAAUAAUUGUUAAAUUGAAAAUAAUAACAAUAAUAUAACGAUAUAACAAAUUGCUAAUUGAAAAAUUAAUUAACGAAUAGCGCUUAGAUCAACAUAUUCUUUUAUGAACAUCGAUCAAAAGUAUGUGUGUGUAUGUAUAACAUAUUGUAACUUUAUGCAUAUUAGAAUCUUUCAAUAAACGUAAAUGCUAUAGUGUUAUCGUUCACUCGUUACUUAUUAUUUGUUUUUUUUCCCUUGAACCAGUUUGUAUUAGCAAAAGAAACGCGUUACUACACGACAUGCACAAAAUAUCACUAGUGAUUAUCAAGAACCAUGCUUUGAGAAAGCUCAUUUCUCGCUGUAUAUUAGCAAGUGUCAAGUAAAUGUUUGCUUCACUUUGUAAUGUCAAACUACAUGUGUACGCAUAGUGCAUAUCAUUUAUUGCGCUCGUAAUGUUUUCCUUUUUAGCGAAUUAUUUAAUAAACGGAAAAUCAUAUAGAUAGUGACAAACACGUUGAGAAGAGAAUGAACGAUGAACCUUCAAUCUAUGUAACUAAUCGAAAGGUAUAAUAGUAAAUACGAAACAUUCUGAUUAAUCGCUUUCGACCGAUAGGUUGAAUUCUCAAGAUCGUAUUUUCGAUAAAUUUUCAUAAGAUUUUGGUUCUCGCAUGUGUCACGAUCGUAACGCAAGUUUAUCGAUAAAUUAUACAAAUCAAUACUCUUGGGAAUAUGUGUCGAUCGGGGUUGGCUAAGGUUUAGUAUUUUGCUACGUGGAAACGUUCGAAGUAUGUAUAUAUAUAUAUAUGUAUGUCUGCAAGCUGCAGACGAAAAUCCGUAAGAGAACAGCUGGUUUGGCCGAGAUAAUCCGAAAGUACGGAACUGGAAAUUUGAGGCGUUAGAGACAAAGAAACGAAAGAAGGUGGAAGAAUUCUAGGAAGAAACCCUUAUUUUUACUGACACGAGUUUGUGUUUUCUUUACGUCAUCCCACAGUUUCCUCGAACCUUUACAAUACGAUAAGAUUUCGAUUUUCGAAGUAAUUAUUAAGUUAUUAAGAUUUUCUUAUAUAAGAGAAAAUUUCUAUCGUAUUGAUAAUGUGCAUCGCAAUCUUUGCGUUUAUUUUCACGCGUAUUAUCGAUUCAAACAAUUCCAAGAUAAAUUUAUUUUUUGUACCAUUUAUUCGAAGUAUAAGUUGUAAAUUGAUAAAAUAUUCACUUAGAAAAUUGUAUAGAGAUUACGAUGUAAUGGAUCAUGCUAAAAUAUUGAAAUCUCUUUGUUAACAAUAUUCAUAUAUCAAACAUUUACAGUUGGCGUUUCAAUAUGGCAACGAUGUCAAAUAUAUACGCAUAUAGAAUUAUUCAGACAAAAGAAAAAAAAAGAAAAAAGAACAUGUAGAUAUAAAUAUAAAAAGGAAGAAAGUAUAAGAAUAAAACGAUAAGAAAGGAAAAUAAUAAAAGUUAGUACCAGGUAAAUCAAAAAUCUCGUAUCGGCUCGAAGUUGGAAGGUUUAACCGUGACUUCAGCGAAUCGCAAGGCUCUUGAAGGAUCGUCUUGAGAGGAGGGGAUCAUCGACGGAUGGAAAGAAAGAAAAAAGAACAGGCACGUGACUCCUCGCGUGGAAAACUACGGCUACGGCGUAUGACUGUGCGGAGAAGGAAAAAAGGAAGAGACUUAGGUGUUUUCCUCGACCUCGUUAUUCUUCUUUGUGGUCUCAACUUCGUGAACGUCGUGUCGUAUCGAGAACGAAAGACGAACGGCUGUUAGGAUGGAUUCGACGUUGACUUGUUUUUUUUCUUUCUCUUCUCAUUUUUCUCGUAUGUGCGAAUAUACACAUAUAUAUGUAUAUAUAUAUAUAUAUAUAUAUAUAUAUAUAUAUCUAUAUGCAUUCGUAAACACGCUGUGUAUAUUUUGUCUUUUUCUUUCUUUCGAGUACUGAUUUCUUGUCUCUUGGCAGCGCGAUAUGCUCAUAAACUUUCUUCCGUCUUUUCUAUUCAUCCUUCUACACGUGCCCCCACCCCUUCCUCUUUAUUCUUUUUUCCUCUCUCUUCUCGACGAUCGACUUUUCGCUCUUCCAUUUUCUCACUUACAUUCACUGAUAAGAAAACGAUGUUGUUGAUAGAUUUAUACUCCGUUUUUGAUUCGUAAGUGCAACUCUUUAAUUGAUAAAGACGUUUGGUUAUCUCGGUUGCUUCUUUCACUGGCAGAGAUCUCUACUGAAACACCUGACGCGUUUCCGCGUUCUUUCUCUUUCUCUCUAUAUUGAAUUAAGAGCGGUCUCAAUGUCGGCAUACCCUUUUGCACUUUGAGAUUCACUCGAAUGGGUUUGGAGAAGUAAUUGGUUAAUUCAAUAAACGUCUCCCUUUUGAAGGUAGCUUAUGUACAUAUUUCAACGGAGAAUGCGUUUGAGAUACUACUGAAUGUUUUGAGAUACAAUCAAGUAGAUACGAAUCUUGUAUCUCGCAUCUGGAUGCACGUUUACUAUUUAGACGCGAAUAAAUGUCUGUGAAAAAUGAAGUCCAUGCGGAGUGGACGUGUGUUGUGGAUUAAAUGAAUGAUCGUUACUACGUGAAUGCCAUGUCGAUACGAUAACGAUUCAUUGAAAACAUUGACAUCAAAUUUAUUCUUUUUUAUCAAGCUACAUGUAUUUAUUCCCUUUAAUGUUAUAGGAAUUAUGUGGGAAAAGAAAAAGAAAAUAGAAUUUAUCGUAGUUAUAAAAAAUAAAAAAGUUGAUAUAAAUCUUUUAAACUUGUUGCCAUGGAAUAGUGUUUCUUUGAAGUAGAAAUCUUCGUUUAAGAAGUCAUGCUAUUUUUAACAACAAGACAUGGAAAUCGUCAUCGCUACUGUCCAAGUUUCUUUAUCUUUGCAAAAAGAAUAGUUUCUCUUGGCUAAUCGAAUAUCGUUUCUAGAUGAACAUAUGUAUUUUUAUUGGAACAAGAAAAAAAAGAAAAUAAGUAUAGAUAAUGAAGAAGUAUUUUUUACACGUUUGGUAAUUUAUCAACAUUUUCUAUAGUUACUUCAAGGAUGAUUCACUAUACAUAAUUCGACUAUUUUUAUAUUUUAUAUUUUUUUCUCGAUCUCUCCGUUCUAGCUCUAGUCGUUUUCUUUAUUGUUUUCGCAUAUCAAUUAAUUAUCUAUCCCAACAUUGCGUUUCAUUUACGCCCAUUCGUGCUUUAUUUAUAUUA